UCUCCGUUGGUGAACCAGCGGAGGGAUCUUUACCGAGUGCGAACUCAUAACCCUUUGUGAACCUAUAUCUGUUGCUUCGGCGGCUCGCUCUCGGGCGAGCCCGCCGGUAAUAUCAGUAUCUCUGUUUGAACCCGACGAUACUUCUGAGUGUUCUUAGCGAACAGUUAAAACUUUUAACAACGGAUCUCUUGGCUCUA
RNAcentral lists this unclassified non-coding RNA (197 nucleotides) under plant metagenome. RNAcentral's name for it is "partial contains small subunit ribosomal RNA, internal transcribed spacer 1, and 5.8S ribosomal RNA". The record is from RNAcentral.